Molecule: ribosomal RNA, 473 nt
Filed under: uncultured bacterium
Lineage: Bacteria
Description: bacterial SSU rRNA
Rfam family: Bacterial small subunit ribosomal RNA
Source: RNAcentral
ACUCCUACGGGAGGCAGCAGUGGGGAAUAUUGCACAAUGGGCGCAAGCCUGAUGCAGCCAUGCCGCGUGUGUGAAGAAGGCCUUCGGGUUGUAAAGCACUUUCAGUCGUGAGGAAGGUAGUGUAGUUAAUAGCUGCAUUAUUUGACGUUAGCGACAGAAGAAGCACCGGCUAACUCCGUGCCAGCAGCCGCGGUAAUACGGAGGGUGCGAGCGUUAAUCGGAAUUACUGGGCGUAAAGCGCAUGCAGGUGGUUUGUUAAGUCAGAUGUGAAAGCCCGGGGCUCAACCUCGGAAUAGCAUUUGAAACUGGCAGACUAGAGUACUGGUAGAGGGGGUUAGAAUUUCAGGUGUAGCGGUGAAAUGCGUAGAGAUCUGAAGGAAUACCGGUGGCGAAGGCGGCCCCUGGACAGAUACUGACACUCAGAUGCGAAAGCGUGGGAGCAAACAGGAUUAGAUACCCCUGGUAGACUGUCA